This 378-nucleotide long non-coding RNA is filed under the name Felis catus (domestic cat). Its description in RNAcentral is "lncRNA (ENSFCAG00000049929.1)". The record is from RNAcentral. Lineage: Eukaryota; Metazoa; Chordata; Mammalia; Carnivora; Felidae.
AUGCUGUCCCUCCGAUGCUGAGUGCAGCUGUUGCUGUGGUUUGAAGAAAGGACACCAGCUUAAGCGUCAUUAAAUCUGGAUUUGGGUCUAUGUCCUAGUUCUCUUCUGGGCCCUUCACUGGGUGAACUCAGUGAAAGAGUAACAUCACAGCGGAUAUCCAGUGAGGAGCAAGGACUAGAAUUCAUUUCUUGCUCCGGGAUCAUUCAAGCAAAACCAAUUCAAAUACCUUAUCUUGUUGUACCAUCAGAACCUGUGCCCAACUGGAAAGGUAUAGUAGGUGUCUUUGGUCAUUAGGGGGUAGCAAGGGACAAUAUGAUACAUAUUUGUCACUACCUUAGUACAGGGUAUAUAAUAAAGUACACCGCUUUCAGGUUCCCA